AACGAACGCUGGCGGCAUGCCUAACACAUGCAAGUCGAACGAGACCUUCGGGUCUAGUGGCGCACGGGUGCGUAACGCGUGGGAACCUGCCCUUAGGUUCGGAAUAACUCCCCGAAAGGGGUGCUAAUACCGGAUAAUGUCUUCGGACCAAAGAUUUAUCGCCUUUGGAUGGGCCCGCGUUGGAUUAGCUAGUUGGUAGGGUAAAAGCCUACCAAGGCGACGAUCCAUAGCUGGUCUGAGAGGAUGAUCAGCCACACUGGGACUGAGACACGGCCCAGACUCCUACGGGAGGGAGCAGUGGGGAAUAUAGGACAAUGGGCGAAAGCCUGAUCCAGCAAUGCCGCGUGAGUGAUGAAGGCCUUAGGGUUGUAAAGCUCUUUUACCCGGGAUGAUAAAGACAGUACCGGGAGAAUAAGCACCGGCUAACUCCGUG
RNAcentral lists this ribosomal RNA (433 nucleotides) under uncultured bacterium. RNAcentral's name for it is "partial 16S ribosomal RNA". It matches the Rfam family "Bacterial small subunit ribosomal RNA", at positions 29 to 507 of the family's 1533-position model. The record is from RNAcentral.